CCUACGGGUGGCUGCAGUGAGGAAUAUUGGUCAAUGGGCGCAAGCCUGAACCAGCAAUGCCGCGUGUGGGAUGACGGGGCUCUGCCUUGUAAACCACUGUCGGACGGGACGAAAAGGGAUAUCAAUCCCUGGGACGGUACCGUCAAAGGAAGGGUCGGCUAACUACGUGCCAGCAGCCGCGGUAAUACGUAGGACCCGAGCGUUGUCCGGAUUCACUGGGUAUAAAGGGUGCGUAGGCGGCCUUGUGCGUCAGAGGUGAAAUCUCCGGGCUUAAC
Molecule: ribosomal RNA, 275 nt
Filed under: uncultured bacterium
Lineage: Bacteria
Description: partial 16S ribosomal RNA
Rfam family: Bacterial small subunit ribosomal RNA
Source: RNAcentral